RNAcentral lists this long non-coding RNA (1185 nucleotides) under Nicotiana benthamiana. RNAcentral's name for it is "long non-coding RNA (NBEN_LNC008168)". Lineage: Eukaryota; Viridiplantae; Streptophyta; Magnoliopsida; Solanales; Solanaceae. The record is from RNAcentral.
UUGCUUAGCUCUUCACUCCCAAACGCCACAAAUUGGCCUCGCCGCCGCGACUAGUACCUGGGGCAAGUUUUCCUGAAGCUUAUCGGAAUGGGUAGUUGUGCCGCGUCCUGCCGAAAAUCUGAACGGGAGUCGUCGGAAAUACUGUAGCUUGCCGGAAAUUCUCGCCGGAAAAGUAAGGCACUUGUCCAAGAAAACAGAACACACCCACAAAAAACAGAAGAGAGAAUAGGAAGAAAAGAAAAAAGAAAAAGAAAAGAAAAAAGAAAAAGAAGUCGAAGAGACGAAAUCGCUGGUCGAAAUUGCUAAAAUGGAUGAAUUUUGGAAAAAGGGAAGAUAGGGUUUACGGCGAGGUUUUGAGGGAAAUUAGAUUCUAGGGACAUGGGGUCUCUGAAACCACAAUCAAUUCAAAAAUAUAUUGCAAUAAGUUGAUCUAGACUACUCAAAAAAAUGGAAUCUUGAAAAAAGAAAGUCAGCAAAAAAAUAUCUUUCAUGUAACUUAAAGAACAAAUUAUAAUAGUAAACAGAGAGGAAACCAGAAUAUAGGGGAAACAGAGAAAAAAAAGGUUUAUUAUAAUAGUAAUAACGAAGGAGCAGUGGAUACAGAGAAAAAAAGGUUUAUUUUAACAAAUUUUGCUAAAAUUCAAUUGAAAUAACUGGGCUGAACCACAACAUCAAUAUGAACAUUAAAUAACCGAUUUUCAGAUCGAAACAGCUUCGGGUUCGAUCAAUCAGCUUGAAAUAUGUCAAUGAAAUGAAGCAUAAAUGUUGCAAAAUUUACACAAAUUUACCUCGAAAUCAGCAAGACAACGCGUCGAUGAAUCGGUUUCAAGUGAAAAAACGAGAAAAUCAAAAAGGAGCUUCAAGAAACUCGAGGAAGUUGAAUUAACGAAGCUAGGAAGAGUGAAGAUUUUGGAGUAAGCUUAACCACAAACUUGACUAAAAAUUAGGCGAUAAUCUCGUCUUUGGAUUGAGGAAUUUUGUUGGCGCUUGUUAAUUAAUAUGUCAAUUUUAUCUUAUAUUUCUUCAAUUUUUGUUUCUACUAUGUCUAGCUAAACCCAUUAGCUAGGUUGUACUCAAUCCUAAUGUGAGUAAUUAAUCGGUGUGAUUGUUUAAUGUAUGACUGAUGUUGGGUGUUUGUUAUUUGGGUUAAUAUUAUGUUUUCAUUAAGAUUUGGUGGUUGCAAAC